Molecule: transfer RNA, 72 nt
Filed under: Camelus bactrianus (Bactrian camel)
Lineage: Eukaryota; Metazoa; Chordata; Mammalia; Artiodactyla; Camelidae
Also listed under: 2 other names
Rfam family: tRNA
About the family: Transfer RNA (tRNA) molecules are approximately 80 nucleotides in length. Their secondary structure includes four short double-helical elements and three loops (D, anti-codon, and T loops).
Source: Rfam by way of RNAcentral
AGGGGUACAGCUCAGUGGUGAAGCACAUGCUUAGCAUGCAUAAGGUCCUGGGUGCAACCUCCAGUACCUCUA